GACGUGACUUCAGAGUUUGAUCCUGGCUCAGGAUGAACGCUGGCGGCGUGCUUAACACAUGCAAGUCGAACGGAGCGGCCAUGACGGAGUUUCGGACAACUGAUUGGUUAGCUUAGUGGCGGACGGGUGAGUAACGCGUGAGGAACCUGCCUUGGAGUGGGGAAUAACACAGAGAAAUUUGUGCUAAUACCGCAUAAUGCAAUUGAGUCGCAUGGCUCUGAUUGCCAAAGAUUUAUCGCUCUAAGAUGGCCUCGCGUCUGAUUAGCUAGUUGGUAGGGUAACGGCCUACCAAGGCGACGAUCAGUAGCCGGACUGAGAGGUUGACCGGCCACAUUGGGACUGAGACACGGCCCAG
This 355-nucleotide ribosomal RNA is filed under the name uncultured bacterium. RNAcentral describes it as "bacterial SSU rRNA". It matches the Rfam family "Bacterial small subunit ribosomal RNA", at positions 1 to 334 of the family's 1533-position model. The record is from RNAcentral.